UACGGGGGGGGCAAGCGUUAUUCGGAUUCACUGGGCGUAAAGCGCACGUAGGCGGUUCGGUAAGUCUGAUGUGAAAGCCCUCGACUUAAUCGAGGAAGUGCAUUGGAUACUGCCAGACUAGAGUACAGGAGAGGAAGAUGGAAUUCCCGGUGUAGAGGUGAAAUUCGUAGAUAUCGGGAGGAACAACAGAGGCGAAGGCGAUCUUCUGGACUGUAACUGACGCUGAGGUGCGAAAGCAUGGGUAGCAAACAGG
Molecule: ribosomal RNA, 253 nt
Filed under: uncultured bacterium
Lineage: Bacteria
Description: partial 16S ribosomal RNA
Rfam family: Bacterial small subunit ribosomal RNA
Source: RNAcentral